UGGGGAAUAUUGCACAAUGGGGGGAACCCUGAUGCAGCAACGCCGCGUGAGUGAAGAAGUAUUUCGGUAUGUAAAGCUCUAUCAGCAGGGAAGAAAAAAUGACGGUACCUGACUAAGAAGCACCGGCUAAAUACGUGCCAGCAGCCGCGGUAAUACGUAUGGUGCAAGCGUUAUCCGGAUUUACUGGGUGUAAAGGGAGCGCAGGCGGUCUGUCAAGUCAGAUGUGAAAACCCGGGGCUCAACCCCGGGACUGCAUUUGAAACUGUCAGACUAGAGUGUCGGAGAGGUAAGUGGAAUUCCUAGUGUAGCGGUGAAAUGCGUAGAUAUUAGGAGGAACACCAGUGGCGAAGGCGGCUUACUGGACGAUUACUGACGCUGAGGCUCGAAAGCGUGGGGAGCAAACAGG
RNAcentral lists this ribosomal RNA (406 nucleotides) under uncultured bacterium. Its description in RNAcentral is "bacterial SSU rRNA". It matches the Rfam family "Bacterial small subunit ribosomal RNA", at positions 355 to 776 of the family's 1533-position model. The record is from RNAcentral.